Molecule: ribosomal RNA, 253 nt
Filed under: uncultured bacterium
Lineage: Bacteria
Description: partial 16S ribosomal RNA
Rfam family: Bacterial small subunit ribosomal RNA
Source: RNAcentral
UACGGAGGGGGCUAGCGUUGUUCGGAAUCACUGGGCGUAAAGCGCGCGUAGGCGGAUUGAUUAGUUGGGGGUGAAAUCCCGGGGCUCAACCUCGGAACUGCCUUCAAUACUGUCAGUCUUGAGUUCGUGAGAGGUAAGUGGAAUUCCGAGUGUAGAGGUGAAAUUCGUAGAUAUUCGGAAGAACACCAGUGGCGAAGGCGACUUACUGGCACGAUACUGACGCUGAGGUGCGAAAGCGUGGGGAGCAAACAGG